Molecule: long non-coding RNA, 504 nt
Organism: Oncorhynchus nerka (sockeye salmon)
Lineage: Eukaryota; Metazoa; Chordata; Actinopteri; Salmoniformes; Salmonidae
Exons: 3
Source: RefSeq, a predicted model, not a curated record
CUGGACCAAUUGUGCGCAGCCGAGGAAAUACGUUCAGGAUGAUGGUAAAUUUAGCCCCGGUAUAUAAAGCAGUCCUCCAAUGAGCUGAGUUAUUGCGCUCUGUCAAUUCCAUUCAAGGGACUUGAAACAUAUGCUAACAUUGCCAAAGCUGCCCCUUUCUUGUGGCAACAGGUCACAAAUAUUGCUGCUGUUGAUGGCACAUUGUGACCCAGUAGAUACGGGAGUUUAUAGAAAUGGGGUGAGCCUAUAAAGCUCUGGGGAACCUCCCUCCACAAUGAUGACGCAGCCGGUGUGGUGCCGAAAAGCUCCCCCCUGCCAGACGCAAUUCUUCAUUGCUGCGACUUGCUUGCUAGUAAAAAAUUCUGAUCAUGUUAAGCUGCGUUUUUUUUUUUUUUUUUCUUUCGGUUUGAUGGCGGGGAAGGCACUAGUAAUGUCUGCAGUUUUGGUUUGUUAUUAUUUGUUUCAAGUCUAUUAGUCUAUAAAUAAAUCUCUUUGCCAAAAUUA